CACCGCGGUUAUACGAGAGGCCCAAGUUGACAGACACUCGGCGUAAAGGGUGGUUAAAUAAUAGAUUAAACUAAAGCCGAACGCUCUCAGAACUGUUAUACGUACUCGAGAGUAAGAAGCCCCACCACGAAAGUGGCUUUACCCACUUGACCCCACGAAAGCUGUGAAA
RNAcentral lists this ribosomal RNA (169 nucleotides) under Opistognathus evermanni. Its description in RNAcentral is "partial 12S rRNA". Lineage: Eukaryota; Metazoa; Chordata; Actinopteri; Opistognathidae. The record is from RNAcentral.